RNAcentral lists this long non-coding RNA (637 nucleotides) under Brassica napus (rape). Its description in RNAcentral is "long non-coding RNA (BNAP_LNC008693)". Lineage: Eukaryota; Viridiplantae; Streptophyta; Magnoliopsida; Brassicales; Brassicaceae. The record is from RNAcentral.
ACAAGUUGACUUGACCAGCUGUGCAACAGUCAAACAAGAACAUGCAAACCGAUCACUAGUAACUUAAACCAAACCGGAGAAGCCACAAUGUGUACCUCAACGCUUAACCCAAAUUUCCCAGAAUAAAUCAAGGUACUUUAGGCCAAUCGAGUAAGUACUCAUAUCCUAUUAGGUACAACCCGAGGCUUUGCAACCCGACCGAGUAAUACCCAAUAGUUGGUUCGUCCGGAAAAUGACUAAUAUCAUAUGGAACCCUACUUUAAAACAUUUUUAUACAUUAUAUAUAUAUUUUAAGAGUAUUUUACAAAAUUUUUAUAAAUUAACCUUGAGGUUUUCGGUUAACAAACUUUACACAAAGAUAUAUCAAACGGAUUUGCAAGGAUAAUAAAACUACAACUGGUUAAUGAUGUUCCUUCCCAUCCUAGAGUAAGGUAUCCCACCUACUGGUUACCUGCACCACAAAUGAGUCACGAGUAACUAGUUUACUCAGUGAGUCUAAGGCCACACCCCAACAAAAUAUCAAUAGCAUCCCGAGCAAUCAACUCCAUUUGUAUGCACUGGAAACAUAUUCCAUAACUAAUAUUUAUAUAUAAGGCCUAUCCUUCCAUCAUUGUGAAUCUAAUCUUAUACCUCGCUU